Molecule: long non-coding RNA, 4598 nt
Organism: Panthera uncia (snow leopard)
Lineage: Eukaryota; Metazoa; Chordata; Mammalia; Carnivora; Felidae
Exons: 3
Source: RefSeq, a predicted model, not a curated record
GACUGCAGGGCGGGGAGUGCUCGGGCGCCUCUCCAUCCCGGGUGGCAGCGGCGCCAGACAUGCCCGUCACGUCCCCUGGACGAGAGGAAGAGGAGCGGACACGCAGGGAGAAGCCGGCCAUGUGAACACAGACGCAGAGAUCCGAGUGGUGUAUUUACGAGCCAACAAAUGGCGAGCAUCGCCAGGAGCCACCAGAAGCUGGAGGAGGCAAAGGAGACCCCCGCCUCCCGCCCCCCAGAGCCUUCAAAGGGCUUCUAACUUCCAGCUGUGGUUUGUGUUGUUGGCUCAACCAAGAUCCUCCUUUGUCCUGUGGCUAGGGUUGGAGUGGAGGCCCUGUGUAUGCACGGCCACUGCACCAUGCCUCCUGGUUCCCCGACACCCUGCUUCCACCUUGGUAAGUAGUCUUCUUGUUAAACCUCCCUGAAUGAUCCAAUGUGAGUGUCCACCUGCUUCCUUCUGGGACCCUCACAGAUACACACCGGGGCCCCAGAGUCUGGGAGGGCUUACUGUGAAUCCGAUGCCCACGGUGGCCGAGAAGGAGCCAGGGACGAACUUGCCCUGGUCGAACUGAACCAGCAGAGAUGUCUUCCCCACACCGCUGUCACCCACCAGGAUGGUCUGAAAGGGAGCAAGAGAGGGGUGAGCGUCUGCAGUGUGCAUGGGGCUUCUGAGAUGCCAUUGUGGCUGUGGGAGCAGGCUCCUUCUAAUGCACACACACACACACACACACACACACAGAACUCUUGAUUUCCUAUCAAAGUCACUGAAGAGGCAUGAAAGCAUAGGAGAAACCUUGUCACCCCAUGUUGAUGAACAUCUGAAGGGACCAUGAGAACUUGCCUCUCAGACUUCCGACCAAGAGGGCAUACUGACUGACACCCACUGUGCUCUCCGUGGUCCCCCACAGUGUGCUUGCCCUGAGGCCGUGCUUCUUACUGGCAGUUCCCAGCCAAAGGCACAGUAUGGUAGGGGCACUGAGGCAGGUCUGUCACUGGGAGACACAAGAUUCCCCUAACGGCCAAAUUUGGCUUGAGGAUUUCCUCACCAUUUCACGGAUCCUUCCAGAGACUUUCACACAACCUUCCUGCCCUUUCUCCUUCGCUUGGGGUCAUACCUGCCUCAUGAUCUGCGGGCUCUCCCCACCUCUCCCAGCUUCCUACCCGAUUUCUUUCAUAAGUAUUUCACCUAAUAAAAUCCCUGCACUUGUAAUUCCCUUUGGCACCAGCUUCUCAGAAGAGAAUGUCUGGAGACAUGCCUUGGGAAGAGUUUAUACUUGGCCAUGGAGCAUGGCAUUGGAGACACAGCAUUUCAAGGGAAACAGAGUUUCAGAAAGAAGGGCCUGGCUACUUUUGUACAUGAAGGAAGCAGUGGGGAGAAUUAGCCUGGGAGGUCAGGUGCUAUAUUUGGAAGAAAAUCAUAAGCAACAGACAGGAAAUAUACAUGCACCUGGAGGCCUGGGACUCAACAAGCUCUCAAAGAAUGGAUGAAUGAAUGAAUGAAUGAGUGGGUAAAUGCCUUAGUUUCAAAAUGGAUAGUAGCUACUUUCCAAAGACAACCCUUCAAGAUCACUGGAAAGGCUUAAGAGAUGCCAACUUUAGCUGGACUUGUAAAACCAUAAAGAUAUAAAAACCCCAAAAUGUAAAAGCGUAAUGGUGGACAGGUUCUCCUGGGGUUGGACCCAUGGUCCCAACACUGUUUGGCUUUGACAGUGGCACUGAGCUAGCAGCAGGGCAAACAUGGGAUUGUUUGUGAUGUUGACUUUGAAUGUCCCCUGACUGUGGUCCCCCAUACCCAUUUCCAAACCAAAUUCGAUUCAGCUUUUAUUUCCUCCUGGGUUAAAGGGCUCCAUUUGCUUGUUGUGUGCAGUGGCUUUAAUAAUUUACAUCUCAGGGGCCCUGGGUGGCUCAGUCAGUUAAGCUUCAGCUUAGGGCAUGAUCUUGAGGCUCAUGGCUUUGAGCCCCACCUCCGGCUCUAUGCUGACAGUGUGGAGCCUACUUGGGAUUCUCUCUCUUUCCCUCUCUUCCUGCCCCUCCCUCACUUGCACUUUCUCUCUCAAAAACAAGUAAAUGAAAACAAUAUAAUAAUUUACAUCUCAAAUCCAAUUUCCUCAGGCUUGAAGAGGGGCUUCCUAGAGAGUCUAUUCCAGAAUGUAAAGGUUCAGUCCGCUCAUGUCCACCUUCUUCAUUUAUUAAAGGAUAUAAUGUAUUGACAUUCUUUUCCCCUUUAUUCUUUUCCUUUUCACGGGGAAGGAUUCCCUUUCUUCUCUCCUCAUAUGAAAACAUUUCCAUCUUAAUGGGAAUUUCUCUGGUUUAGUGGGAACACGGUUCAUGGUGACAAGGUUCAGCAUUUCAGGUCCUGCUGAAUCCUGUCUGGGGGCAGGGGCAGGAUGCUGCUGCCAUGUUUUGGUGCAGAACUUCUGAGAAUCCUAUGUUCAAACCUGGCUUCUUGGUUGGGAGGAAGAUAUAUGUGUCAAGGUAGGAAGUAAGAAGAUAGGAUACACUUGAUUUGAUCAAAUUAAAAAAAAUUUAAUGUUUAUUUAUUUUUGAGAGAGAGAGAGAGAGAGAGCAUGAGCUGGGGAGGAGCAGAGAGAGAGGGAGACACAGAAUCUGAAGCAGGCUCCAGGCUCUGAGAUGUCAGUACAAAGCCCGAGGCGGGACUUGAACCCACAAAUUGCGAGAUCAUGACCUGAGCUGAAGUCAGACGCUUAACUGAAUGAGCCACCAAGGUGCCUCUUGAUUUUAUCAUUUUUAAGCUGGCAUUUAGAAUAAUAAAAUAUUGAGACAUGUGGUCUAUGGGUGUCCAUUUGUAUUCUAAACGUUAUGGAUGAGGCUGCCUAAAUCCAUUACCUUAGAUACACUAUGGAGUUACUCUCUUCACUCAACAGCUGCCAGGAUUUUCCUGAAGUUUCUCCAGGUUGGCCCCAAAUCUCACUGCUUGGAGAAGCUGAAUGUCAACUUUGGAUCCAGAAUUUCCAUUGCACCUUCCCUCCUCUGAAGCAUUUGUGAAAAUGUUAAUUAAUCGUGGUUCAAACAGAGACCUCUGUGCCAACUUUGCCACCAUUCAGACAAGUGUUUCCGUUCUGUCUUAAGUCAGUUGAUUUAUGUUUGUAUUUGGCUCCAUCCAUUCCAAAAGGAAUUUGAGGAAUUCAAAACUCGCCUACACCAGAGGCCAGGUAAUGAUACCGCCUGAAGCAAUCUUCCACCCCAGAGUGACCUGGCUUGUUCCUAUAUCUGAGCGUUACAUUUGCUUUUAGACUUCCUGGCAUCCACGACAAAAUGGGAAGCCAGAUGGGGUAUGUAGUACUUGUUGCCUGAGUCUUCUCAAUGAGUGAGUAUUUUCUGCCGGCAUGCGAUGUGGAGAGGAAUCUCUUAUGUGGAUUCUUACACGAGGGGCCUCUAGUGACAAAAUGGAAGAGUUGGGAUUUUGCAGAGAAGGUGAAGCUUUUCCUAUAGCUUUUCUAUUGACUCUUUUUUUUAUAUAAAAUUUUUUAAAAUGUUUAUUCAUUUUUGAGAGACAGAGAGAGACAGAGCAUGAGCAGGGAAGGGGCAGAGAGAGAGAUGGAGACGCAGAAUCUGAAGCAGGCUCCAGGCUCUGAGCUGUCAGCACAGAGCCCGACACGGGGCUCGAACUCACGAACUGUGAGAUCAUGACCUGAGCCGAAGUUGGGCGCUCAACCGACUGAGCCACCCAAGUGCCCCUCUAUUGACUCCUGCUAAAAGCCAGGGCCUGACAUUAAAUCGCACCUCAGCAGACACUUCUCAGUGGGAGCUGGGCAAAUGUUGCCUAAGCGCUCUGCUUUCCUGUGACUUCCUGACUCAAGGGGAACACUUAGAAAACCUAGGUGAAUGGGGUGGUUACCAUGGCUCCUAAUUGACUCUGAGCCACCUUCUUAAUCAGACAGGGAAUUCAGAUGCCAUAAAGAAAAAGAUCUGACUGUACAGACAUAAAAAUGUCCUGGUUGACAGAAGAUACCAAAAUGAAAUGAGAAAUGAUGGAGAGGAAAUAUUUGCAAGAUGUAUGGCAGACAAAGGGUUAAUACACGUAGUGGUGUAAAGAGCUCUCAAAAGAAAAUCUCAGUAGGAAAGUGAAGAAUAUGAGUACAUAGAUUGUGUGUGUGUGUGUGUGUGUGUGUGUGUGUAUGUGUAAAUGUGUGUAAAUGUGUCAACCUGGCCAGGCUAUAGCAUGUAGUUAUUCAAUUAAAUACGAAUCUCUAUGUUGCUGUGAAGGUAUGUUAUAGAUGUACAGGUUAUAUAUUACACAUAUACAAUCGGUUGACUUGUAAAUCUUCAAUAAUCUGGAUGGGCCUUAUCCAGUUAAUUGAAAGAACUUAGAGCAAAACUGAGGAAGAAGAAAUUCUGUUCAAAAUUGUAGCAUCAGCUUCUCCCUGAGAAUUUUCAGCCUGCCAGUCUACCCUACAGAUUUUGGACAGGCCAGCCCCCCAGAGUCACGAAAGCCAAUUCCUUGAACUAAACAUCUCUCAGUAUACUUCAUCCUGGUAUGUUUCUCUGAAUCAAUAUAACAUAUAAUGCUUUGGUAAAAGUAUGAUAAGGGUCAACAUUGGCUGAGAGUUGGGGAAACAGACACUCGUACUUACACCA